AUUGAACGCUGGCGGCAUGCUUUACACAUGCAAGUCGAACGGCAGCACGGGUGCUUGCACCUGGUGGCGAGUGGCGAACGGGUGAGUAAUACAUCGGAACGUGCCUAUUAGUGGGGGAUAACGCUUCGAAAGGAGUGCUAAUACCGCAUACGUCCUGAGGGAGAAAGCGGGGGAUCUUCGGACCUCGUGCUAAUAGAGCGGCUGAUGGCUGAUUAGCUAGUUGGUGAGGUAAAGGCUCACCAAGGCGACGAUCAGUAGCGGGUCUUAGAGGACGAUCCGCCACACUGGGACUGAGACACGGCCCAGACUCCUACGGGAGGCAGCAGUGGGGAAUCUUGGACAAUGGGCGCAAGCCUGAUCCAGCAAUGCCGCGUGAGUGAAGAAGGCCUUCGG
This 393-nucleotide ribosomal RNA is filed under the name uncultured bacterium. RNAcentral describes it as "bacterial SSU rRNA". It matches the Rfam family "Bacterial small subunit ribosomal RNA", at positions 30 to 421 of the family's 1533-position model. The record is from RNAcentral.